AUUAACUUGUAAUUCAUAAGCACGAUGAUUGGAUGUUCAUGCUAUUUUGUGACAUGUGCCUCCCUCACACAUUGCUACAACAUUGGCGCAUUAUCUGUCUACCA
Molecule: small nucleolar RNA, 104 nt
Organism: Suricata suricatta (meerkat)
Lineage: Eukaryota; Metazoa; Chordata; Mammalia; Carnivora; Herpestidae
Source: Ensembl